RNAcentral lists this transfer RNA (150 nucleotides) under Szabonella alba. RNAcentral's name for it is "tRNA-Cys". Lineage: Bacteria; Pseudomonadati; Pseudomonadota; Alphaproteobacteria; Rhodobacterales; Paracoccaceae. The record is from RNAcentral.
GGCGGCUUAGAUGUUUUGCAUGGGGCAGCUAAGCCGUUGAUUUCAGGAAGGCCCAAAACGAUGCCUUUUGAAGAAUUUCCUUUAUAUUUCAACGCUUGCCGUGGGAUUGCAAAUCCGUGGAGACCGGUUCAAUUCCGGUACCCGCCUCCA